UAGGGAAUCUUCCACAAUGGACGCAAGUCUGAUGGAGCAACGCCGCGUGAGUGAAGAAGGGUUUCGGCUCGUAAAACUCUGUUGUUAAAGAAGAACAUAUCUGAGAGUAACUGUUCAGGUAUUGACGGUAUUUAACCAGAAAGCCACGGCUAACUACGUGCCNG
Molecule: ribosomal RNA, 164 nt
Filed under: uncultured bacterium
Lineage: Bacteria
Description: partial 16S ribosomal RNA
Rfam family: Bacterial small subunit ribosomal RNA
Source: RNAcentral